GCUUCCAAUGUAGUAUGGUGGCCACAUCUUUAACCUAACAAAACACAGAGAAAAAGAACAUGACAAAUGGAGCAGUGAAUAUAGAAACUUAGGAAGGGAGGCACAGCCUGUCCUCCGUAUUCAUUAAUUAUAUAUGGUAAGAUUAUAUAGGUGAAGAAGGCAAAUGCAAGCUAAUAAAUAAUAUUACAUAUAAUUAUAUAGGUGAAGCAAGCUGAUGACAGGUGUAGUCUCAUACGGAGAGAGGAGGAGAGAGGCCAAACUCCAGACCCCAAAGCUCAAAACUGCCCUUCACAAAGUCAUAGUAUCCUCCCUUUAAUGCCAGUGUCUUCUUUACCAAUCCAUCUCUUACAAAUGGGUAAGUUAACAGAUUCCCUAAUGACACAUUAACUGCUUCCUGCAUUAUUUUUUUUAAUUUUUUUUCCAAUAUUAAUUAGUGAAUAAUCACAAUUAAUUACUUAAUUAAUUUUAAUUAGAUAGAGAAAUACAGUGGUUUAUACCUUU
This 501-nucleotide long non-coding RNA is filed under the name Carica papaya (papaya). Its description in RNAcentral is "long non-coding RNA (CPAP_LNC004379)". Lineage: Eukaryota; Viridiplantae; Streptophyta; Magnoliopsida; Brassicales; Caricaceae. The record is from RNAcentral.